CGCGCAGGUGGUUGAUUAAGUCUGAUGUGAAAGCCCACGGCUUAACCGUGGAGGGUCAUUGGAAACUGGUCGACUUGAGUGCAGAAGAGGGAAGUGGAAUUCCAUGUGUAGCGGUGAAAUGCGUAGAGAUCUGGAGGAAUACCGAUGGCGAAGGCAGCCCCCUGGGACAAUACUGACGCUCAUGCACGAAAGCGUGGGGAGCAAACAGGAUUAGAUACCCGUGUA
This 225-nucleotide ribosomal RNA is filed under the name uncultured Turicibacter sp. RNAcentral's name for it is "partial 16S ribosomal RNA". It matches the Rfam family "Bacterial small subunit ribosomal RNA", at positions 568 to 792 of the family's 1533-position model. The record is from RNAcentral. Lineage: Bacteria; Bacillati; Bacillota; Erysipelotrichia; Erysipelotrichales; Turicibacteraceae.